AUCCAGCUGAUGAGCCCCCGAUAAGACGAAACGCGCGUCUUGGAU
This 45-nucleotide non-coding RNA is filed under the name Schistosoma mansoni. The record is from RNAcentral. Lineage: Eukaryota; Metazoa; Platyhelminthes; Trematoda; Strigeidida; Schistosomatidae.